GAUGAACGCUGGCGGCGUGCCUAAUACAUGCAAGUCGAGCGAACGGACGAGAAGCUUGCUUCUCUGAUGUUAGCGGCGGACGGGUGAGUAACACGUGGAUAACCUACCUAUAAGACUGGGAUAACUUCGGGACACCGGAGCUAUUACCUGCUGAUAUUUUGAACCGCAUGGUUCAAAAGUGAAAGACGGUCUUGCUGUCACUUAUAGAUGGAUCCGCGCUGCAUUAGCUAGUUGGUAAGGUAACGGCUUACCAAGGCAACGAUGCAUAGCCGACCUGAGAGGGUGAUCGGCAACACUGGAACUGAGACACGGUCCAGACUCCUACGGGAGGCAGCAGUAGGGAAUCUUCCGCGAUGGGCGAAAGCCUGACGGAGCAACGCCGCGUGAGUGAUGAAGGUCUUCGGAUCGUAAAACUCUGUUAUUAGGGAAGAACAUAUGUGUAAGUAACUGUGCACAUCUUGACGGUACCUAAUCAGAAAGCCACGGCUAACUACGUG
Molecule: ribosomal RNA, 497 nt
Filed under: uncultured bacterium
Lineage: Bacteria
Description: partial 16S ribosomal RNA
Rfam family: Bacterial small subunit ribosomal RNA
Source: RNAcentral